RNAcentral lists this long non-coding RNA (393 nucleotides) under Erythranthe guttata (spotted monkey flower). Its description in RNAcentral is "long non-coding RNA (EGUT_LNC001224)". The record is from RNAcentral. Lineage: Eukaryota; Viridiplantae; Streptophyta; Magnoliopsida; Lamiales; Phrymaceae.
UUGCCACAAAUCUAUCGUUGCCAAUACAUUUAUUAAUAACAACGAAUUUAUGUCGUUGCAACACAUAAAUCGUUGCCAAUACAUUAAUCACUAAGAACGAAAUACAUCGUUGCCAAUACAUUAAUCAUUAAGAACAAAAUUGUAUUUCGUUGCAACAUAUUUAUUGUUGCCAAUACAUGACUUAUUUUCGACCGCACCCGCUAGCCCGACCUUUGGACUGCCGACCCGACCUUUAGACCGCCGAACCGCUUCAGAAUCCGAAUUGUUGGGUUAAACUCAUGAUUUCGCCCAAUAGGCUAACCCGCUUGAUAAAUGUCAAAUAUAUGGAGACAUGACAAUAGUAAGAGUCGAACUCUGGUUGAUUUGAAGUUAGACACCCUUCACACCGCUGGG